UGGGAUUAGUGCCCCUGUAAAGGGACCCCAGCAACAUCCCUCGCCCCUUCCACCACGUGAGGACACAGAGAAGUCAGACCCGAAUCUGGUGGUGCCUCGGUCUCAGGCCUCCAGAACUGAGAAGUAAAUGUCUGCGACAGGAGCACACGUGGAUGGAGACACCCUCUGACCUGGCAACCUCACUGGCGAGUUCCACCUGACAGAAAUAAGAACACCAGUCCAUAAAGACGCAUGUCCGGUGAUGCCUGCAGCGGCAAAAGAGAAAAAUAAAGUGCAGAGCAGGCCCCAUACCAGAGGAUGGGCUACGCGGAGAACACCAUGCCACAUGAGGGACCGUGUGCCGCCUGAAAGCAGGCGCCGACCUGGUGGGGCCCUGGCACAUUCUGCUGAAGGAGCAAAGAGGACGCAGGAAGAGUGUGCUGAAGACGAUUCCAUUUUCUUCUUAAAUGGGAACAAAAACAUCUCUGCAUUUUUUCCCAUGUGCCCAUUCACCAAACAAGCACACUGAGGAAGGGAGGUCUGGGGAAUGACAAGGCCUCUACUGACUUCAUUUUCUACAGUGUGACCUUCAAACCUCAUUACACAGGCUCCAGAGCACCACAGGAGGGGCCCAACUCCAGGGCCAGUUGCCACCCACAGGGUUGAUGUGAGGAACCCCGGCCAGGAGACCCACCAAGGCCCGGUGCCCAGUCAACAGCUGGUCCCUCCUCAGCCCCGUGGCCUUGUCGGGGAGCCUCUGUGUGAGCACGAAUCUCUUCUUGGGAACCUCGGCCCUGCUUACUUAGGACAGCUCAGAGAAGAGCACAGAGUAGUCCUGGCCAGAUCCCUUCUCCUUGCUAUUCCUCAUCCUUCCCGACUCCACUCACGAGAAUAUGUCAUUAACCACCACCCUCACCUCACCUAACCACCACUCUCAACUUAUCUAACCCGUACUCACUUCAACUACCACCCUCACCUCACCUAACCAUCACAUCACUUCACCCAACUACCACCCUCACCUCACCUAACCACAAGUCUCAUCUAACCCAUACUCCACCUAACCAUGACCCUCACCUCAUCUAACCUCCAUUCUCAACUCAUCUAACCAUCCCCUUCACCUAACCACCAUCUCACUUCACCUAACAGUCACCUUCACUUCACCUAACCACUCUCCUCACCUUAUCUAACCACCACUAUCAACUCAUCCAACCCAUCCUCACUUCACUUACCCACCACCCUCACCUCACGGAACCCAUCUUCACCUCACCUAACCACUAACCUCACCUCACCUAAUCACCACCUUCACCUCACCUAACCAUCACCCUCACCUCACCUAAUCACCACCUUCACUCACCUAACCACUAACUUCACCUCACCUAAUCACCACUCUCAACUUACCUAAUCUGUACUCACUUCACCUAACCACCCCCACUCACCUCGCCUAACCAUCACUUCACCCAACCACCACCCUCACCUCAAGCCUCAUCUAACCCAUACUUCACCUAACCAUGACCCUCACCUCAUCCAACCACCAUUCUCAAUUCAUCUAACCAUCUCCUUCACCUAACCACCAUCUCACUUCACCUAUCAACUUCACUUCACCUAACCACUCUUCUCACCUAACCACCACUCUCAAUUCAUCUAACCCAUACUCACUUCGCUUACCCACCAUAUUCACCUCACUUAUCCAUAACUCUUACCUCACCUAACUGCCACCCUCACAUCAUCUAACAACCACCUUCAUCUCCACCUAACCACUUUACUCACUUUAUCUAGCCACCACCCUCACCUCAUCCAACACAUACUCCCUUCACUUACCCACCACCUGACUCACCUCAUGGAACCCAUCUUCACCUCACCUAACCACUAACCUCACUUCACCUAACCACCACUCUGAACUCAUCUAACCUAUAUUCACUUCAACUAACCACAGCCUGCACCUUACCUAACCCACCCUCACCUCACCUAACAGCCACCCUCACAUCACGUAACCACCACCUUCACUUUGUGGUGGAAAGCAGUUUGCUGAUUUCUCAAAGAACUUAGAACUACCAUUCAACCUGGCAAUACCAUUACUGGCUAUAAACCCAAAGGCACAGAAAUCAUUCUAGCAAAAAGACAUGCCCAUCAACAGCCCUAUUCACAAAGCAAAGACAUGGAAUCAAUACGUCUCCAUCAAAGGUGGACUAGAUGAAGAACAUGUGGUACAUACAGAGCAUGGAAUAUUACGCAGCCACAAAGACUGAAAUCACGUCCUUUGAAGCACCAUGGAGGCAGCUGGAGGCCAUCAUCCUAAGCCAAUUAGCACAGCAACAGAAAACCAAAUACCACGUGUUCUCGUAAGUGGGAGCAAAACACGGUACUCAGGGAGGAGAAAU
RNAcentral lists this long non-coding RNA (2357 nucleotides) under Homo sapiens (human). RNAcentral's name for it is "HSALNT0131761". Lineage: Eukaryota; Metazoa; Chordata; Mammalia; Primates; Hominidae. The record is from RNAcentral.